CCUACGGGUGGCAGCAGUGAGGAAUAUUGGUCAAUGGACGCAAGUCUGAACCAGCCAUGCCGCGUGCAGGAAGACGGCUCUAUGAGUUGUAAACUGCUGUUGUAAGAGGGUAAACGCAGAGAAGCGAAGCGGUCGGAAAGGAACGUACGAAGAAGGAGCGGCUAACUACGUGCCAGCAGCCGCGGUAAUACGGAGGAUUCAAGCGUUAUCCGGAUUUAUUGGGUUUAAAGGGUGCGUAGGCGGUCGGAUAAGUUAGAGGUGAAAUCCCGAGGCUCAACUUCGGAAUUGCCUCUGAUACUUUUCGGCUAGAGAGUAGUUGCUGUAGGCGGAAUGUAUGGUGUAGCGGUGAAAUGCUUAGAGAUCAUACAGAACACCGAUUGCGAAGGCAGCUUACCACGCUCCUUCUGACGUUGAGGCACGAACGCGUGGGGAGCAAACAGGAUUAGAUACCCCAGUAGUC
Molecule: ribosomal RNA, 460 nt
Filed under: uncultured bacterium
Lineage: Bacteria
Description: partial 16S ribosomal RNA
Rfam family: Bacterial small subunit ribosomal RNA
Source: RNAcentral